RNAcentral lists this non-coding RNA (21 nucleotides) under Caenorhabditis elegans. Lineage: Eukaryota; Metazoa; Nematoda; Chromadorea; Rhabditida; Rhabditidae. The record is from RNAcentral.
UUCUAUUUUGUCAAGUUUUGC